RNAcentral lists this long non-coding RNA (355 nucleotides) under Olea europaea subsp. europaea. The record is from RNAcentral. Lineage: Eukaryota; Viridiplantae; Streptophyta; Magnoliopsida; Lamiales; Oleaceae.
GUUCUGGCAACACAUUUCGAACGGACCCCUCUAAAAAGCAACACGUUUUCUUUGUCUUCCGAUUUUUUUUAUUGAAUAAUUCCUCUUGAACAGCAGCAUUACGGGAAACAGCUCUUCAAUUUGAGAUUUCCUUAUCUUUAACUAUUAUACGAAAUGAAGAGUUUUCUUAGCAAGUUCGAAUCCGCUCUGCAAUUGCUUCACUCCAAAACAAUCAGCAUACAAAUCUUUUGAAUCCAUUUAAGCCUUCAAUUCCUUUUAUUUUUAAUUUUCGACUCAGAAAACUGACCCAUCAUUUUUAAGUUUCCGAUGCCGGAACAUAUUCUCAGACCCAAAAGACUUUCUCCUUUGGCAGGUA